AAAAUAAUUGUUAGAAUUAAAUUACACAUAAUUAAGAUAAAAUAACUAAAAUUGUAAUAAAACUAAAUAUAUCAUGAAAAUUAUUUCACGAAACAUUAAAAAGAAGUAUUAAGAAGAGAUGAGGAGAAGAAUUUGGGGAUAAAAAAGCAAAAAACAAAAACACAAGGAGUAAGAAUUACAUAAAAUGGAGCUAAAAAUAAGAUUCAGCACACCUAAUUUAGAGGGAGAGUCCCCUAUUUAUAGAUACAAUUGAUGAUUCAUGGCCAUUAGAUGAAAACAUUUCGGACGCACAUGAUUAUGCCACGUGGCGCUCUCAGAUUGGUUGAAACAAGUCAUCAGGGUUGUCAUUCUGUGUUUGUGCAUGUAUGGUACGCACACUUUUGGCCCACUGAUACGCUGUUAUGUCACCAGUCAAAUGCAAGGUCAACAAGCUUACUUCAGUGUAUACGCAUGUACCGUAUGUGAGUUCUUCGAUCCAAUAAUAUGCCACCAUGUAACUAAGUUCCACCAAAUCAGCAUACAUCCUGCCACAAUAGAUCUUGACCUUUUUAAAUCUUGUUUUAUAUAAUUCAAGUCCAUUUUAAUCUUGGUUUCUGUCGUUCCGUAGGCUUUCGGGGCCUUUGAAUCCAUUUAUGAUGUUGGUGCCGCCAUCCAGGACCUCAACAUGAAUAAAAUUAUGGUUUUACCUUUGUGCCUUUCCGAAGGCUUUUAAUUAUUCCGAGCUAAAAAAUAUUGUCUGUUUUGCCGUAUGAUUUCUUGAUAAUCUAAAAUGACCAAAAUAUCUUUGAAAUACAUAAAAUACUAGUUAUAAUAAAAUACACACAAUCAAAGUUUAAGAGACUUAAAUACAUAAAAGUAGAGAUGUUAGUGAGAUAUGGAGUGUAAAAUGAUAAUUUUACACUUUGUAAGUAUACACUCUUUAGCACUCAUCACACUCCCAACCAGGUUAUUACUAGUCCGUAGCAAAUUAAGUGAUAAUAUCUAGCAAAAUUCAAAACCAAAUUGAAUUUUUAUUUUUUAGAAAAAUUGUGUUUACUUCUUUGAUUAGAUUAAUGACAACAAUCAAAUAAAAGUAUAAGCAUUAUCUUCAGUCUAAAAAAUAUUACUCCCACAUCAACCAUUCACAAAAAUCAGUCAAGUAAACUCAUGCAAAAUGAUCAAUUACCAAAGCUACAUUAAUUAAGCUAUUUUCUAGAAUAAGAUGUCAAACUCUAAAAUCUCACGAGUGAGAAUGAUGCUCUAAAAAAAACAAAUAAAAGCAAUCACUCCAAGGAAUGGUAGAUUGAGAGAAAAAUAAUUUCACACACUCUCACUAAGAUGAAAGAAUAAUGUCUACAACUUAGAAAAAUAUGAUCUCAAGUCAAACGAAUUGCUAGUCAAACCAAUAGCAUUAUUUAUAUUUAUAUUUAUGCAUCACCACAUCUUUUAGUCUAUAUUAAUAGUUUCUACUUCAGAGUAUAGUUUCCUAAAAUUAAGAAUUACUUUUACUAAGAUUUAAUAUAGGCUAGAGACAUGGCUAAUAAAUAAGG
Molecule: long non-coding RNA, 1529 nt
Filed under: Citrus x clementina
Lineage: Eukaryota; Viridiplantae; Streptophyta; Magnoliopsida; Sapindales; Rutaceae
Description: Citrus clementina (C. clementina) long non-coding RNA (CCLE_LNC006581)
Source: RNAcentral